CGAAUCAUGAGAUCAGGGAAGAAUCCCAACCCAAAUAAUGGCGGAAAAGAAGAAUUUCUCCACCCCCUUUCCGCCGACCUCCCCUUCACUCAGUGCUUCAAAUCUGCGCGCCAAGCCGCUCUCCUCCGGUACAGCUGCUCCAAGGACCGCGAUCUCUACGUCGCCGGCGAUUUGUACGACAACGAAGUCCUCACUCCUGCCGUAAUCGUUGUUCCUCGCCGCCGUGGGAAGGCAGUGUAUCCUAGAGAGAGAGGGGAAGAAUCAGAAAGGUGCGUGGGUGGAAUGCUUCUUUCAUUGUCAAAUCUGACAAACACGAUUUGAAUUCGAGCUUGGAUCAAGGGGUUUCCGGUCAAUCCAGCUCGGCUUCGCCGUUUCGUUUCUCCAGCGUGAUCCCCGGCCACCGGAGGAAGCAGAUUCGGUCGUUCUCGGUGGACGAGAGCUCGAUCGGAGCGCAACAGAGAUCGUGCUAGAACUGCGACCGCGGAAUCUCGCCGGCAAGAUGCUCCAACGAGGAGGAGGACGAGCAUUGCCACGUAGGAUCGAGCAGCUACUCGUCGGAGUCGCCGCAGGGGUGGAGGCAGACGCCGCGGAGGACUCCGGCGGCCGGAUGAGCAUUGCACACUUGUGUUUUAAAGAAGACUUAUCCCAAUCCGCUACGCUUCAAUCCUGCUUGCUCUGUUGCUAAGCAGUAUUUCGUCGACAUGGAUGAUAGUGUACCUCAAAAGGUGGGCACACUUGUGUUUUAAAGAAGGUUUGAAAUGUCGGAUGGCUGUAUUUGUUUCGAUGAUUUCAGCGCAGCAGAGAUCGUGCUAGAAUUGCGACCGCGGAAUGUCGCCGGCAAGAUGCUCCAACGAGGAGGAGGACGAGCAUUGCCACGUAGGAUCGAGCGGCUACUCGUCGGAGUCGUCGCAGGGGUGGAGGCAGAUGCCGCGGAGGACUCCAGCGCGUGCGCGGCGGUGGGGAGGCGACGACGGCCAAAAUCAGAACUUCUAGGAUUGACAUUUUGCUUGAGUCCUCUGGUCCGAGCCAGCCUAAUGCUGAUGCGGUCAGCUAUUACGCGGUCGUCAUCACCAAUUACGGCCCUGGACUCGCUGUCGGCGGCCUCGAUUCACUCAUCGCUUUCUUCGUCCUCGUGCUUUUCCAUUAUCAUGUAUUCAAAUACAGGAUUUUCAUUUUUAUUUGUUUCAAAAUAUGAUGCUAUCCUGCUUGUGAAAUUUUGAAUUCAAUGAUUUGUGGAGUUUGAUCCGUCCAUUUCUUCAA
This is an RNA transcript of Salvia hispanica, 1260 nucleotides long. RefSeq lists it as uncharacterized. The record is from RefSeq and is a predicted model, not a curated record. NCBI's taxonomy places the organism in Eukaryota, Viridiplantae, Streptophyta, Magnoliopsida, Lamiales, Lamiaceae.